AACGAACGCUGGCGGCAUGCCUCAUACAUGCAAGUCGAACGAGGUCUUCGGACCUAGUGGCGCACGGGUGAGUAACAUGUGGGAAUCUACCUGAAGGUUCGGAAUAACUGCGGGAAACUGUAGCUAAUACCGGAUGUGUCUGCAAAGAGAAAGAUUUAUCGCCUUCAGAUGAGCCCGCACUAGAUUAGCUAGUUGGUGAGGUAAUUCGCUCCACCAAGGCUACGAUCUAUAGCUGAUUUGAGAGGAUGAUCAGCCACACUGGGACUGAGACACGGCCCAGACUCCUACGGGAGGCAGCAGUAGGGAAUAUUGGACAAUGGGGGAAAACCCUGAUCCAGCAAUGCCGCGUGAGUGAAGAAGGCCUUCGGGUUGUAAAACUCUUUCAUCAAUGAUGAUAAUGACAUUAGUUGAAGAAGAAGCCCCGGCUAACUUCGUGCCAGCAGCCGCGGUAAUACGAAGGGGGCUAGCGUUGUUCGGAAUCACUGGGCGUAAAGCGUAUGUAGGCGGAUCAAAAAGUUAGAUGUGAAAUCCCUGGGCUCAACCCAGGAACUGCAUUUAAAACUAGUGAUCUAGAAUUUGGUAGGGGUUAGUAGAAUUUCCAGUGUAGAGGUGAAAUUCGUAGAUAUUGGAAAGAAUACCAGUGGCGAAGGCGACUAACUGGGCCAUUUUUGACGCUGAGAUACGAAAGCGUGGGUAGCAAACAGGAUUAGAUACCCUGGUAGUCCACGCAGUAAACGAUGAGUGCUAGUCACUGGGACAAUAGUUUCAGUGUCGAAGCUAACGCAUUAAGCACUCCGCCUGGGAAGUACGGUCGCAAGAUUAAAACUCAAAUAAAUUGACGGGGGCCCGCACAAGCGGUGGAGCAUGUGGUUUAAUUCGAAGCAACGCGAAGAACCUUACCAGACCUUGACAUGGUGUGUUUGAAUUACAGAAUCGUAAUUCUUCAGUUCGGCUGGCACACACACAGGUGCUGCAUGGCUGUCGUCAGCUCGUGUCGUGAGAUGUUGGGUUAAGUCCCGCAACGAGCGCAACCCUCAUUUUUAGUUGCCAGCAGGUUAAGCUGGGCACUCUAAAAAAACUGCCGGUGAUAAGCUGGAGGAAGGCGGGGAUGACGUCAAGUCCUCAUGGCCCUUACGGUCUGGGCUACACACGUGCUACAAUGGUGGUGACAGUGGGCAGCAAUACUGCAAAGUAAAGCUAAUCCCAAAAAACCAUCUCAGUUCGGAUUGGACUCUGCAACUCGAGUCCAUGAAGUUGGAAUCGCUAGUAAUCGUAGAUCAGCGUGCUACGGUGAAUACGUUCUCGGGCCU
This 1310-nucleotide ribosomal RNA is filed under the name uncultured bacterium. RNAcentral's name for it is "bacterial SSU rRNA". It matches the Rfam family "Bacterial small subunit ribosomal RNA", at positions 28 to 1381 of the family's 1533-position model. The record is from RNAcentral.